AGUGAACGCUGGCGGUAGGCCUAACACAUGCAAGUCGAACGGCAGCACAGUAAGAGCUUGCUCUUACGGGUGGCGAGUGGCGGACGGGUGAGGCAUACAUCGGAAUCUACUUUUUCGGGGGGGAUAACGUAGGGAAACUUACGCUAAUACCGCAUACGACCUACGGGUGAAAGCAGGGGAUCUUCGGACCUUGCGUGAUUGAAUGAGCCGACGUCGGAUUAGCUAGUUGGCGGGGUAAAGGCACACCAAGGCGACGAUCCGUAGCUGGUCUGAGAGGAUGACCUGCCUCACCGGAACUGAUACUCGGCCCAGACGCCUACGGGACGCAGCCGUGGCGACUAUUGGACACUGCGCUGAAGCCUGUUGGAGCAACGCCGCGUGCGUGAUGCAGGCCUUCGGAUCGUAAUGCCCUGUUUUUGGUGAAGAACAGCUGUCGCAUUAACCGCAGCGGUAGUGACGGUACUUGAUCAAAAAGCACCGGCUAACUACGUG
This 492-nucleotide ribosomal RNA is filed under the name uncultured bacterium. Its description in RNAcentral is "partial 16S ribosomal RNA". It matches the Rfam family "Bacterial small subunit ribosomal RNA", at positions 29 to 507 of the family's 1533-position model. The record is from RNAcentral.